UCACAAAGUAAUCAACGUACUUGCAGACAAAAAUGACACAAUCAGAAGUGUUGUAAUGCAUUGGUCGAUCCUUUAUUACGUGCACCUUAUUAUUUUUUUGGGGCCAUUUACCCAUUACCAAUGCACAAGGUCAACGGUAUCAAUUAUACCACAAUAAAGAAAGUUGGAUUAGUAACAUAUACAUGUAUCCAAUUAUAUAAGUAAAAAUCACGUAUUACAAGCACCGCUACGUCAACGUAUUCAUUGUACAUUUCUUACAGUUUAUUAAAGAAGGUAUCAUUAUAGAGUGGGUCAAAGAUGGUGAUCAAAAGAUUAAGAGUAUAAAGGGC
This 329-nucleotide long non-coding RNA is filed under the name Panax ginseng (ginseng). RNAcentral describes it as "long non-coding RNA (PGIN_LNC017465)". Lineage: Eukaryota; Viridiplantae; Streptophyta; Magnoliopsida; Apiales; Araliaceae. The record is from RNAcentral.